GCGGGCUGAUCUACAGGCUCGACUUUUUGUUUUGGAGGUUGCUGCUCGUCGUUGGUUAUAUGGGGAGGCGUUUUGGUGGUCCAAGUUUCCUAGGCAGUGCUUUUGCUGGCAGGGAAAGUUCAGAGGAAUAUGCUUUGAGAGGUGUCAUAAUAUGAAAGGAAACAAUUAGUUCUGCCCAAGGGUGUUUCUUUGUACCGGGGCAUUGUCUCCAUAUGCUAGAUGAAAUCCAUGCCUCCCACAGUUAUUGAAGGUGUGUUGCUUCCAUUUGCAAGUAAGAAAGUAAUGCUCCUAAUGAAUUUGCUACAGUUUUUGUGCUCUGCUGAACUUUCCUUUAUUUUGUCAUUUUGGCGGGUGUAUUCCAUCGGAUUUUGCAGAAUCUACCUGACUACACAAGGUUUUGCAGGUAGCAUCAGCAAGAAUUGUUGGGCUUAAAAAUCCAGGAUGGUGUUGUUAAUGCAACAUCUCUGUUUGAAGAGUUGGUGACUGUAGUUUUUGGAAACUAUAGUGAUGGGCUAAUCUACCAGACUGUGGAGCUGCCUCAGAAUGGCGAGUUUUCUUGUGCCAAUGAAACUGGUUCUCAUAGAUCGUAAAGGAUGCUUCUAUUAUGUUUAUUUGGCUUCAACAUUACCUAUAGCAAGAUGCAUUUUUUUCGCUUGUUUUUUUCCCUGCAAGACCUUAUUCCUUGCACUCUUGAGUCUUUUGAGAAGGAGAAAAUUAUUGUUGGGAGGGAAAAAGACUGAUCAUGAGUUCCUGAAACAGAGUGCAACAGUGAAGAACAAGAGGCUUUUUUGUUGAUGAGUCGGCCUAAAUAUAUUUUAGAUGAUUGCCAAAAAGUUGUUAUUGAAGGAUUGGAGUCAAGCUUAGGAUCAGUUUAUCCUAUGGGUCUGUACUACAAGGUUGAGUGCGUCAACCGACAACGCAGAAAUCAGGUUUAUAGACGAGUGCUUUAUGCCGGGGUGGACGAGCUUCCGUUAGGCCAUUGAUUUCCCAAUGAAGGAGCUUUGAGGCAAGCACUGCAAUGAUGUAUAUUUGUAUAUGGCAUAAUCUGUAGGAACCCUCUCCUUGUUUCCUUUUGUUCUUGGUUUUGCUCCAGUUGAUUACUGCCCUAUGAGAUCUGCACAGACAAAAUUCAUGUUGAUUUGUUUAGUUGUGGCAUGUAUCGCAGCUACACCAGUCUGAUAAUUUAGUCCUCAAAUAAGGUAGUUUCCGUCUCCCCUUUACAUGUGAUGGACAUACGUGCUUGUUGCUUGCCGUUGCUGAAGCGAGGCCUCUUAAGUGUACUUUUGUGUUCUCCCUGAUUAUGUUAAUCAGGCCGUAUGUGUUCUGUUGGUCUAUUUUCAUUUGUCUACCUCUACAGAAUUUCAAAGAUGUAAUUUUCUAUCAUGUAGUUGCCUCUUUCUUCAUAUACUAACCCUCUCCUAAAUGAUAGAUGAGGCAGGUGACUUAUCUCAUGUAUUUUCUUUUCUGUAAAUUACAACAAGUCUAUUUUAGUCAACUUAAGGGUAUGUUGAAUAUGACUGUUAAUGAAGAUAGUCAUUCUUGUUAUUGAAUGUGCACAAUCUGAUUCAUUUUAAAGUAGUUCCUUAUCUUUAUGACUAGACUAGGCUGCUACUUUAGCGAGUGUUUCACUUCAACACAGAUUGAUGCAAGAAAGAAAGAAUUCUUUUGCAAUAAAGCAAGCAUUGAGUGCCCAAAGCAGGAGAGCUUGAAUUUUUUGCCGACGUAAAUUUAAGGUAACCUUCUCCAUGCAUAUUUUUUUUCAACCAUUUGUAUCUAAAUAUCAGUAAUCAUUUUGAACUAUAUGCUCAGGCCGACCUUUUUAUUUGAUGUUAUUGGUGUGGUGUGUGUAUAAUUGUUAACUUGGUUGCGGUUUUAAUAAUAGGUCGUCACACAUUACAGAAAACUAUUUUCCAUUCUGUGUCUCUAUGCUCAUUUUGUGCCCGGGUGCAGCUGUGAAGGAACACUACAGGUAGAGAAGAAAGAAAGGAAGAAUGAUGGUAAGAACCACUGAGAUACCGAGUCCGGCCAGCCAGAUGAGUAUCAGGAGUGUUUCUUCAUUGGAAGUGAUGACAAAAAUUGUCCUUUAGAGUAUAUUAGUUGUUUAAUCAUCAAUGAGUAGACUAACGCAUACAUUUUUUUGGACUGCACCCAUAUAGUUUGUCUUUGCUGAAUAUACUAUAUUUACUUCAUUUCUCUAUUGAGUUAGCAAUGGCAAUAUGAUUGAUUUAUAUACUAUAUAAUUUGCACCCAUAUAAUGAUCAAUUAACCAUGUUUCUCUAUAUAAUUUGUCUUUGCUGAAUAUACUAUAUUUGUUUGGUCUGCACCCAUAUAAUGAUCAAUUAACUCCUGAAAAUACCCUUUCCAGACAUAAUUUCUUUUCAUCAUUGUUAAGGCUGAUUUUACCUAUUUCACUUAAAUGGCGACCUCCCUGCACUCCCAUUUUUCUGCUUAGGAUUCUCAUUUAAUUGGUGAGCACUCAGAUUUGGAAUAUCAGCUCUUUAGUACUGGUUUAUCAUUUUAAGAAAAUAGGAGCAAUGUGAUUUUGUUCUCUAGAGACUAGAAUUGAAUAGUUAGUCCUUUUAGUACUAUCCUACUACCAUUUGUAGCUAACAGAUGCAUCAGUUCGACUAGGCAUUAUCAUGUAUUGUACCGUAGUAUCUUUUUUGCAUAGAGUAAAUACCUACUUCUGCUGCAGGUUACUUUUCUUUAUAAAAUUUGGUUCAGGAUGCCGUUUUACCUGUUGUAAUACCUUCAGCAUAGAAGCAGUAGUGGUCUGCUCCUCCAAAGAUCUAUAGCUUGUGGAUGCGGCGGAUGUGGCACAGGGAGCAGAUGAAUUGGGAAUAAGAGGACCCCCGGCGCGCGCACAAAUUGUUUCUACCUGACGGCUGAUAGUGAGGAUGCCUCUGACCUGUCCCGAGAAGGUUCGAGCCGAAGUACGACUUGUACAACGCAUCACCAAUUCGUCCGACAGUGUAAAAUGCGUUUGUGUUAGCUGAGUGAAAAUUAGAGAUCAGCCUGGUGGUACUUUAUUAUUUUAUUCUAUAGCUUGAUCUGCCAAAUGCUAUUAAGGAAAUGAAGUUUCUUCCUCGAUCAA
Molecule: long non-coding RNA, 3094 nt
Organism: Triticum aestivum (bread wheat)
Lineage: Eukaryota; Viridiplantae; Streptophyta; Magnoliopsida; Poales; Poaceae
Exons: 6
Source: RefSeq, a predicted model, not a curated record